This 71-nucleotide transfer RNA is filed under the name Lactobacillaceae bacterium. RNAcentral describes it as "tRNA-Cys". It matches the Rfam family "tRNA". From Rfam's summary of the family: Transfer RNA (tRNA) molecules are approximately 80 nucleotides in length. Their secondary structure includes four short double-helical elements and three loops (D, anti-codon, and T loops). Lineage: Bacteria; Bacillati; Bacillota; Bacilli; Lactobacillales; Lactobacillaceae. The record is from RNAcentral.
GGUAGUGUAGCCAAGUGGUAAGGCAUUGGUCUGCAAAACCAUGAUCGCCGGUUCGACUCCGGUCACUACCU